UGGUCUGAUUGCUCUCUUAUAUUCGGUGUU
Molecule: non-coding RNA, 30 nt
Filed under: Mus musculus (house mouse)
Lineage: Eukaryota; Metazoa; Chordata; Mammalia; Rodentia; Muridae
Source: RNAcentral